AACGAACGCUGGCGGCAUGCCUAACACAUGCAAGUCGAACGAGAACUUCGGGUCUAGUGGCGCACGGGUGCGUAACGCGUGGGAACCUGCCCUUAGGUUCGGAAUAACUCCCCGAAAGGGGUGCUAAUACCGGAUAAGGUCUUCGGACCAAAGAUUUAUCGCCGUUGGAUGGGCCCGCGUUGGAUUAGCUAGUUGGGAGGGGAAAAGCCUACCAAGGCGACGAUCCAUAGCUGGUCUGAGAGGAUGAUCAGCCACACUGGGACUGAGACACGGCCCAGACUCCUACGGAAGGGAGCAGUGGGGAAUAUUGGACAAUGGGCGAAAGCCUGAUCCAGCAAUGCCGGGUGAGUGAUGAAGGCCUUAGGGUUGUAAAGCUCUUUUACCCGGGAUGAUAAUGACAGUACCGGGAGAAUAAGCACCGGCUAACUCCGUG
Molecule: ribosomal RNA, 433 nt
Filed under: uncultured bacterium
Lineage: Bacteria
Description: partial 16S ribosomal RNA
Rfam family: Bacterial small subunit ribosomal RNA
Source: RNAcentral